This 9803-nucleotide long non-coding RNA is filed under the name Solanum tuberosum (potato). Its description in RNAcentral is "long non-coding RNA (STUB_LNC006761)". Lineage: Eukaryota; Viridiplantae; Streptophyta; Magnoliopsida; Solanales; Solanaceae. The record is from RNAcentral.
UUUUUCUUAGUUCAUGAUCUUUAUGUGUAGCAUCUUUCACCCGUUAUCUCUUAUGUUCUUUUCCAAAUACAGGCAGGCCUUCCACAUUGAUAGACAUGUUUCUAAGCUGUACACAAUCCGGACACCAGUAAGUUCACUACACUGCCUGCCAAUGAUCAACCGUUUUUGCACUUUUUUCGUCUGUGAAUUUGUCAGUUAAGGAUUUAUUUUUUCAAGUUUUCCCGUCCUUCAAUAGUUUCGUGGAAGUGUAAUUAUGGGAUGUAAAUACCUUUUGCUAGGAUUUAUUUUUUCAAGUUUUCCCGUCCUUCAAUAGUUUCGUGGAAGUGUAAUUAUGGGAUGUAAAUACCUUUUGCUAGGAUUUAUUUUUUCAAGUUUUCCCGUCCUUCAAUAGUUUCGUGGAAGUAUAAUUAUGGGAUGCAAAUACCUUUUGCUCCAAUUGUCAAGGAGGAAAUUAAGAAUAAAAAAGAGAUUUCCACUUUAGUUCGGAGAAUCCUUUGUACAUCAUUGACUGGGUGCUCCUCCCUUUAGUUACUAGCUCUUUUUUGCUAGUUUGCCUUUAGUUUGGAUGUAAUCAGCACUUUCUUAGCGCUUUUUUUUUUUAACAUCAAUAGUGCUUACUACUUCAAAAAGAAAAGAAGGAAUAAAAUGAUAUUUCCCUUUUCAGUUUGCAGGAGUUUAAUUAUAUAAUUAGCAUUUUAAUUUUUAAAAGAAAUUUGCACCCCACAAAUUUCUAUUUGUUCGAGUAUGUAAAUAAAAUACGAUUCAAGUAAUAAAUGCCCAAAUAAAGUAAAAGUGUAUAUGAACCAUCACAAAUCAGCAAUUUAUAACAUGAGUUAUUAUUAAGCAAAGGAAGUGAAAAUAUAUUAAUACUUGUAUUAGCUUCAUAGAGUGCUGCUUACAGAAAUGGAAAAGUAGGCAAAGAUAAUGUAGGAACACGUGUAAUAUCAUCACUAGGAGAUGAGAAAGGUGAAGGAUUGGGGGUCUGGAAUUUAAAAGUACAUAAGAGCUUGAUACUCAAAUGACUUUCGAGAUUCUACAUGGAUGGUAAUAAUAUCUGGAAGAAGCUGAUGCUAUAUAAAUAGUAAAGAGGUUAGGCGGAGUGCUCCUCCGCUUCAAUCAAAUGCUAAAAGUGAAUUUUGGAAGGAUAUUUGUAGGCUCUGGGAAGAGUAUAUGAAAUAUGCUAAAUUGAAGGUUGAGAAUGAGUGCAAAAUAAAUUUCUGGACAGAUGUUUGGGCGGGAGAUGAAAGCCUGAAGAAUAGAUUCCCUUGUAAUUGUUCCAUUAAUAAGAAUGGUACUACUGCUGAAUUUCAUUCAGAUUCAGGUUGGCGGAUCAAUUUAGAAGGAAUUUGAAUGACUGGGAACUGGAGGACUUUUGUCAGAUACUUCAACAACUGAACUCAGUCCAGCUUGAUCGGAGUCAGGUGGAUUCUUUGCUGUGGACAGUCAAUAAAGGUAAAAAAAAUUCAGUUAAUAGAUGCUAUACUACACUGUUGAAGCAGUCAGGUAAUUGGGAUAAUACUCGGUUUUGGAAAAUGAUUUGGACAAGAAAAGCUCCAGUGAAGGUGGUUUGUUUGGGAUGGACUGCAACCCGUGGAGCAUAUUUAACUCAAAACUAUCUGCAGAAGAGGGUUUUUCUUUGUGCAACAGAUGCUACUUAUGUGAAGAUGACCUGGAAUCAAUAGAUCAUCUAUUUCUUCACUGCAGUUUCUCUAGACAAUGUUGGAACCUAUAUCUAAACUUUCAUGGCAUCUUAUGGGUAAUGCUCAGAGAUGUAAGAAGUUUAUUAGAAAGCUGGAAAUUCCAAAGGGUUCCCAGAAUACUGAAGCAAAUUUGGAAGACCAUUCCACUUUGCAUCUUUUGGACCUUAUGGCUGUGGAGUCGAGAAUAAAUGCUUGCAUUAUCGAUUUUCUGGUGUAAUAGCAAUCUGUUAGUUAAUAUGGACCAAUACAUGGAUUUUCUGGAAUUGUAGGAGGAAAAGAGUAAUAACUUGUCUGCUUGGUCGUUGUAUGAAUCCUGUUUCCAUUUGUACCAGCUUGGUACUUUUUCAAUAAAAUCUUACCUUAUAAAAAAGAAGUAUUGUCACUAAGGUAAUUAGAAUAACAAGUAGGCUUUUGCACCUAAACAUCAGAUUAACACAUAGUAAACUAAACUGUUUCCAUUGACCUGUUAAGAUAUAUUAUCACAUAUUAUUUGUGUGUGUUUGAGUAUUUCAGGAAAUAUGAUCCACAACUUUUUGAUCCAGUGAAUAUUGAAAUAAAGUUUUUAAGUUAUCAGAAGUAACUUGUAUUAUUUCUCAAGGGAUGUGCUAGUUGGAUUUCUAAGAUCCUCUCUUGACAUGCUACAGGCAGUCAAACAGGAUGCCAGUUAGGUUAUUAAGGAUCAGGAACAAAGUAGUAACUGAGACCAAAAAAAUUUAGGAACUAAUGUUGGCAUAUUCUGCUUAAUAGGUGAUCUAGCGUUUGCACUGAAGCAGGUGGUUGGGGCAGAAUUUGGAGAGUUAAAGAGGAUUCUUUCAGGUGGAUGUGAGUAGGGGUGUCAAAAUCAAGCCCAAUCCGUCCAACCUGCCCAACCCGUUCAACCCGUCCAUUUAUUAGCUCAACCCAUUUCUGCCCAAUCCAUUUCAGCCCAUUAAGUAUUGGGUUCAUAUGCAACCCAAAUUGACUCAUGAGAAAUUUUGUCAAAAUAUUUUUAAUUUUUUUUUAUAUGUUAUACAGUCAUAAUAAAGAUUUUUUUUUAUUAGGUACUAAAAAUCUAUAAAACAACCAAUAAAACAAUUAAAUCCAAGUAAGAAUUGGGUGGGUUGGGUUAUGACCCGCAUUUUAGCCCAAGUAGCUUUUGGGAGGGUCAAUAACCUGCACAUUUAUUAAUUCAGCCCAAUUUGACUGCCCAAAUUCAGUCCAACCCGCCCAUUUGACACCUCUAAAUGUGAGUGUUCCCUCUAUUGUAACGGGUAUUCCUAAAGGACAUUCUGAGGCUUGUAGCCAUCACAACAUGGCACAAAAUCAUUCCCUGGUAGUAGAGGCUUCACCAACCUUGAUGUCUGUUCAAUUUCAUUUUCUUUUUGGUUCAGUUUCAAGCUCAUAAUUAUUGGAUUAUGCCUAGUUAUCUUUUCCCUCUAGCCAACCUUUGAAGGGAACACGUUUCUUUUUGUGAGUGAGGUGGGCUUGUGGAAGGAAGCAGUUAGGAAAGAGAAGUGUCAAGCUUACUAGACAUCUCUUGUUGGUUGCUUGUCUUUGAGGGUGAGAAAGUGCAGAAUCACUUGCGUCCUCCAGUACCUAUAAGUUUUUGCUUGUAUCUCCAAGUAUGGGUUCAACGAAAGUACUUCAAGAUUCUCCUUUAAUUUUCUUUAGGUUGCCUGCUUGAAUCCUUUUAUUGAUUCAAUGGACUCCUGCAGCAUGGAAAGGAAUAAGUUUGCAUUUGAGACAACAUUAGUAAGAAAGUGUUGGACCCUAUGUCGUGUCCAAUGGGGAUAGUACAUGGAUAUUGGUUAUGUAAUAUGUAGAAAACUAAUCUAAUUAAAAGCUAUGACAGAAACUUGGCACUGACAUCAUUAGCCUAUUAAUUUUAUUACCAAUUAAUCGCAUUACCUACCAUCCCAUGCUCUCCACAUUGAAUUACAUUAUACACACAUUCCCAAAAAAAUAAAAAUAGUCUUCUGUACAUUUUUAAAUUUUUUUUAGAGAUGCUUGAUAUUCUGGCUAGGUUUGUCUUCCUUUUCAUCUACUUCUCAAAUUAGAUUCCUUCUUUAUGGGUUUAGUAUUUCAAUUUACACUUUGCAUCCUACAUGGAGAAAAUGGAGAGACAACUUGUCUGACUAAGCAUGAUAAUUCUUUCCAGACACACUGAGGUCAAAUCUGUUGAUAGUAUUUCAAUUUACACCUUGCAUCGUACAUGGAGAACACAGGGACAAUAGUUGUCUGACUAAGCAUGAUAGUUCCCUCCAGACACACUGAGGUCAUAUCUGUUGAUAGUAUUUCAAUUUACACAUUGCCUCCUACAUGGAGGAAAUGGAAAAACGACAACUAGUUCUCGGAUUAAGAGCCUGUUUGGAUUGUCUUUUGACUUAUGACUUAUAUCUUUUGACUUAUUUUUGUUAUACUUUGGCUUAAGAAUAAGUGUUUAUAACUAUAAGCACUUCUUUAUUUUAUCCAAACACUACAAAACUGCUUAAAAGCUAUUUUGGCUUAAAAGCACCUAAAAUAAGCCAAUCCAAACAGUCUCUAAGCAUGAUAAUUCCUUCCGGACACUUUGAGGUCAUUUCUGUAGAUCAUCAACGGAAGAUCUGGAAAGAGGCUUUUCAACAACUUUGCCUUUUAGUAAAACCAUCCUUCUACUGGUUCCAGCAUUGCACAGUCUUGCAUUUCCAAUUUUAAAAUGCUAUGAUCACUUUAAUAUAACAUUUUUUUAGAAGGUAAAGUAAUUUUAUAAAUUAGAACAAUGCAAAGGAAGUGCUAUUGGGGACUGUGCAAUCUAGGAAAAGAACAAACAACAAAAAUGUGCCCCAUCUAAUCUUGUAGGGAUUCUAAUGUUUGUAGAUCUGUUUCAGCCUCAUUUAUGUGUUCCAUCCUACACUAUAAGCGAAACAAAAAUAUACAAUUAGACUUUAUCAUGUUGGCGGAGCUCGCAGAAUCUUCAAAACAUCUUCUAUUUCUUUCCGUCCAGACAGUCCGCCAAAUACAUGCAGGUAUAGUAUUCCACCAUAGUAGCUUCCUCUUCCUUGGGCCUUUUCUGGCCAGCACUUCAGUAGAUCAUUUAUUGAUCCUGGCAUGAUCUGUUGCAAUGCAAUCAUUUAGGCUUCCACAAUUGCAUAAUUACUCUGAAUGUCUCUCACACAGAAAGCACUUGCUACAUAGGUCAGAGCCUCUUUUUGGAGAUUCUCACGAAUGAGACAAGCUUCUUUACACAUUACCAUUUAAAUCAAGCUACCUUGAAUGGAGCUUUGGAUCUCCAGAUCUGUUUCCAUGGCAAAGGACUUGGUAAGUUCUCCGGUUUUGUUAAAAUUUUGUAGCAUGAUCUCACUGUGAGCAGACCCUUUUUUCUAGGGAUCCAUGUUAUGUUGCCUUCUGUAUUAGUGUGCUGCUGAUGUGUUCAAAAGACUGAAAAAAUCAACAGCCCAGUUUCAACUGUCAUAAGCUGGCUCUCUCAUCUUGCUCUUGUCCAAGCUAGUUACGCAAUUGCACGUUGCUUACUUGGUUUGGUGUUUAAAAGGUUUGACUACUACUCUCUUAUCCCAUACACUAGCAAAUCUUCAGGUUAAGGUGGAUUGGAAUUUGCUUGGGGCAUAGUGGCUGGGAGGCCUUAACCUUAUAGCUAUUAGCCGUGAAUAUAUCCUGUUCGAUUGUACUUGGACCUUAAACGUUUUAAUAGAUUUAUUCAGCAUGUUUGUCUGAUUUACCUCUUGACAGAUUAAGGAGCACUGCCAUCAGAAUAACACUUUGAAUUGAAAGGAAUCAACUUUUUAGUUGAGUGUGGCUUGGGUUACGUACUUAUGUUGGAUGGUAGCAUAAAAUGGGUGAAGAGAAAUAGAGAUAAAGUGUAGCAAGAAGAGUACCCUUCUGAAUCUUAUGUGGAUUUCUUAUGAUGUUUGUGAACAGUAAUGCUGAAUCAUAAAAUAUGCUUUAUCAGUGUCUUGGUUAGAGGUAGCUAAGAGAUUGCGAAGGGUGAGGGAGGAGGUAAGAAUGAUAUUGAAAUGGUCUCCUAGAGUGUAUCCCAAAACUGCUGUCUCUUGCUUUUCUGUAUCUGGGUUUUGUAUGAAACUCAUGAAAUUUAUUAGCAUAGGUGAUGGUUUACCUUGAUUAUCUGCUUUUUUCUCUUAAUGUGGUUCCUUUUUUUAUUUUGGAAACUUUUCAGGUAUGGCUUGGUCUUGGAAAAACAGUUCUCACAAAUAUAUCCAAAAUCCUAAGCUUGGCCAUAUCCAGGUUUUAGAGUACACUGGUCUUAUGUAACCCAAAGACAUGUUUCCCCUUUAAGUUAAAAACUUAUCUAAACGCAGUAAACAACUGUUUUCCAAGACUUCCCAAAACUCAACUUAUGCCAAAAAAACAUUCCAGGAACUCAACAAAAAACUAACUCAGAAUGUUUUAACAUUUGAAUGGAGAAAGCACAAUUCGGAGCCCUACAGCAAUCCGUCUUGUCAAGUUAGUGCCCUUGAAUGCUGUUUAGCAUCUCGUUUUUAGUUAUCAGCUCUGGAGCAUGUAGAAAGUGCAGUAAAUUUAUUGGUCCUAAAGAUACCGUAAUUGCCUAUGCUUAAUUAUCAGCUGGGGUCUAGGUUUAUUUGUAAUUGUUUCAAUACUUUCAGGCCUUCUCUAUUGGCCAUGACUUACCACUUAAUCCUGUUUAUGUUUCCCUACUUGUUAUUGUGAGAUCUUAAGUGAUUGAAUGCUUUGAUAAUAUAGGUCAAGUUCUGAGCCCUUGAUUAUUACUACUACUACUACUUCCUUUAUUGCUAGAUUUUCUUAAAUGACUGAAUGAUUAGAUAAUAUUACAGUAGUGUCCCGUUCUUCAAAAUAUCCAUCAUUUUAGAAGUGCAUGUGAAAGAAUGCAGACUACAUUAACACUUCCCGUGGUAUUACUCUGCAAUCACAUUACUAAAUGAUGGAGCUUCACUAUCAAGUUUUAAUAGUUGAAUAUUCUAUUGUAUCAUUAUUACUUCCUCCGUUUCAAAAAGAAUGGUCUAGUUUGACUUGGAAUGGAGUUUAAGAAAAGAAAGAAGACGUUUUAAUCUUGUGGUUCUAAAUUAAAGUUAUGUCAAAUGUACCAAAUGUCCUUAAUCUUGUGGCCUUAUACAUGCCACGUGGAAAGUUGAAGUUAAAGUGUUGCCAAAAAAGGAAAGGGAUCAUUCUUUUUGAAACAGACUAAGAAGGAAAUUAGGACAUUCUUUUCGAAAUGGAGGGAGUAGUUGCUAACCCUGAGAUUCAUUAUCCUGGAAAAAGAAAGUAUUUUGGACUUUUGAUGUUUUCUGGGAAUCAACCUUUUGUUUUCUAUGUAUUCACCUUCAGCCCUCUGGUGGAUACCAAAGCUUUUGGACGAAUGCAUGCUACAGAUGCCGAAUCUUUUGAUUUGCAUUCGUUUUACAGAGGGGUGUGUGAGAGCAUUGUGAUGAGACAUCAAUGAGAUUUCUUCUCUUUUAUUCUUUUUCUGUGGUUUGAACAUUGGACAUGGUAGCAUUUGGUUUAUCACCAUAAACGAUGCAGAUUUUGGCGUCCACCAAGCUCACAAGUCACAAAGACCAGGAAAUUGAGCUCUUCGUCAGUUUUCCUUUUCUUUUUACAUAGCAGAACUGUUUUAAGUGAUAGGUUACAUGCAAUUGUUGCAACUAUGCUGGCUACAUCAGUAAAGGGGAUAGCCAUAAUCCAUAGCAUAUACAAUCGACCUUCCAGUGGUGAUUUGCAGCACAACAGUGCCUGGCACUGCGCAUUAAAAAUUCUGUUAUUUAUGGUCCAUCUAAGAAAUAAUAUUGAUUUGAUUCUUUUUUCAGAUGUGAACUUGUGGAUGGGCCUGUUUGGAUAACAUUGCCUCCAAUUUAUUAGAGUUGUGUCUAUAUGGCCACCAAAACGGGUAUGAUCAGUUUCAUUCUUCUAGUAUUCUUUUGUUUCUGUAUUUCACACGUAAGCAAAGAAAGUAAGAAAAAAUGAGCUCUUCAUAGUUCUUUUUCUUUAUUUAGUGCCGAAUUUUCAUACAUCAUCAGGGCGAUGGUAUAUUUACAACUGAUAAUGUUGCCAUGAAAGUCCCCAUAUCUACCCAGGGGCUUGAGAAAUAUAAGUAACAUACAUCUCUUCACUCUUCAGAUACUCUUAUUUCUGCAGUGCAGCAUACCGUCUCAAUGGUGUGAUCUGUAGAGGAGGAUGGUGUUGAACCGUACAAAAUUCCUAAACAACUGUUGGCGUUUUACGCUUAAUGUGCCGAGAUGUCAACUCUGACUCCGUCCCUCCAAGCAUUUCCCACAUCACCUGUACAUCUUCAUAUCCACAGGACUGUAUAUCGCCUUGAAGCUUCAAUAAUCCAGCACCUGAUGUAAACAAAAGUAAGUAAUCCAUAAAGCUACUAUCUCUAUGUUUUUCACUCUGUUCCUUAAGACUGUCCAAAUUCUUUGCAUCCUAAGUGCCAAAAUUUAUGAAGUUACAAGUUUCUCUUCUACCCUAGCUUAGUGAUAACUUAUAUUCCUCCGUCCCAAUUUAUGUGACAAUAUCUAAAACAAACACAUCUUUAAAAAGUUAGAUUGUAGAAAAAACAGGGGGAGAGGCUUUGAAAAACUAGUGCAUCUAUAUUUAGCUUCUUCCUAUAUGUUCAUUAAAUCAAGAGUAAGAGAAACACCAAAUGCGAGUAAGUUUUUUUAUGACUAACCAUCUUUACGAGGCUUGACACGAGCAGAAACAGCACCCCAAACACGUCUAACCGGAAAGACCAUUUUUUGCCACAAAUCCUCCAUCUCCUCUCCUCUACUCCUAUGUUUGGUUGAAAAUGAAAGGGUUUAUAGUGCUCUUUGUUGCAAUAAAGAAUGUAAUGACUAGAGACUAAUAAAGGAGUGAUGUGUUCCUUCCACUCUUGAGUCUUGAUGUGGGGUUUCACAAAAGCAGAUGAAUUAGUGAUAUUGACACAUAUAUAUAUGGGAAAAUAGGGAUGUAUAUGUUUGAAUAUUCUAAUAACUCUAUAAAGUAUGCAGACAAAAUUUACCCCAAUUUAGAUUUGAUUUUUUUCACUAAAGAAAUAAAAAAUAUUCACCGACGCGACCGUCACAGUGCUUGUGUAAGAGAUAUUUUAGUGCCACGAGUCACUUGUGUUGUGGCUGCGCAGGAUUGUCUUAGUUAUUAUUUGGACCGUCAAAUACGUUUGAAAUAUUUUGAAUUGUUAUAGUUUCUAAAUAUUUCAAUUUUAUUUUGAAAAAAUAUUGACGAUACUUUUUAAUUGUCAUGGUUUUUUUUUUUUAGAGUCAAACUAUAAAAACUUUGACUAAUAUUUUACGAUGUAUUUUUUCAUUAUAUUGAUAUGCAAAAAAAUUGUAAUUUAUAGUAUUUUUCAUAUAAUUUUUUAAUAUCUAAAUUUUUUAUUUAAAAUUAAAUUAAUGUAAUCUAAUUUAACAUUGAAAUUAAUUAAAUUAACUUUUGAAAAAAGUAACAUAACAAAUAAAAAUGAAUGAAAAAAAUAUAUUUGAAUUAGUUUAAUUCUCGCGGAGACCAUCAUUUUGGGAUGGAGGGAGUAUUUUCUGCUAGUGCUCGUCUUUUGACUUCUUUUCAUUCAACACAUGUCAUGUUUUCAGUGGGAAAGAGAGAAGAAAAUGGCACCUUUAUAUUAUAAUUAUAAUUAGAAAAAUUGUGUGGUUUGGACGGUUUGACUCUUUAGAUUUUUGUGCCUCAAAUCGAGAGAACAUUAUUAGUGAGCCUUUUUCUGAAAGAACAUUAUUUACAUGCGUUAUUUAUCCCAAAUAUAGUGAAAUAAAUAUUAAGAUUUUUUUUUAUAGCAUUGGCAAUUUAAUUUUGUUAUAUUUGGUGUGAGUAGGUUUGGAGUUUGGGUCAGCUAAUCAGACCAAGAUUCCUAAUUCAAGAGAUGGAAAAGGAAAGGAGUGAUAAGAAGGUCCCAAUGAGAGAGAUAUUUUUGUGUAUUGAAGAAUACGUGGAGUCUUUUUGAGGCUCUAUUAUUAUUACAACUUUCCCGUACUGUCAGCAAUGGGGUCUACCUCCACGUUUUAAUCAAUUUUUUCGAUGGAUUUUAGUUUAUGCAUUUAGUAAUCGCUCGGCGUGAGAUAUAUGGUUUAAUAAUUUUAAAAUAUAAAAUAUAAAAUUAUUUUAUCUUGUGUUUGGUUGGAG